UGAAAUUGGUAAAGACAGUUAUUCGUGAACUUCAUACAAUGUAAGGGCAUUUCCAAAUAGUCCUAAAUUUAAUGCUUAAUGCAUCUGAAAAUGGUUGAAAAUAACACUGUAAAAAUCAUCGUUUUUCAUCUAGCAUUAUUUGCACGUGCAGUAUAGGUGUGUUUUAAAGGCACAACAGUGAAGCCGCCGUAUAAUACUUUAAUCGACCCG
This 210-nucleotide long non-coding RNA is filed under the name Mytilus galloprovincialis (Mediterranean mussel). Lineage: Eukaryota; Metazoa; Mollusca; Bivalvia; Mytilida; Mytilidae. The record is from RNAcentral.